GCAGCAAGACAGUAGCGAAUGGUGCCAUAUUGGCAGAAGGUGCUGUUGGAGUGGCAGUGGCUGCGGCUGUGGUGAUCUUGAGCUAGCGCAAGAAAAUGAAGCGAAUGCUGUUCUCUGAUUUCCCUUUGUACCUAGCAUAUAUUUUAGCGCUUAGUGCUGCCCGCCCCAUAUAUCUUCAUCCACAAUAAUGGUCAAAUCAUUGCCGGUGCUUGGAUGGAACAAGCCAGCAAACUCUUUGAAAGUCACAGGAAAAAUCUAUGCCCAUUUUCAACACAUCUUUUGUUGCGUGAUACUACCUUUUCCAGUUGGUUAGUAGUUAAACAUGCUGCUUUGAGUGAGUUGCAAUAUGCGUAUGACGCCUGGUAAUAUGCAUUUAUGCGAUGCUUGCCCAACUUCCAAUCCUUCGAGCAAAUUUCUCCAACCUAAGAAAAAUGUUUAGCUGGAUCAAGAUUUCUUCCCAUGUGCAAGAGAUGAUUAUUAAGAAUCUGGGACGUGUGAUGCACCUUUUCCGUCAUUGAACAGAGAACAUUUUCACCACUUGGAAUCUUUCAUUGGUGGAUUUGUUCUUCAACGCACAGUAGUGUUUUAACUUUGGUUGAAGAACCACUCUAGCCCUUUUGCCAUCUUUUUCGAAUUCUCCUCUCAGCUUGUGGAUGGCUGUAUUGUUUCGUCUGCUUCAACGGGGAAUCAAGUCAGAGACGUGGUUUCGACCUCUCGUGAAGAAGUAUGGGACGCACGAACCUCUUAAUUGACACAAUGGCUCUGGUAAUUUGGACAUCGCUUCUGAUUUGAAAACAAAUAAUUCUGUCAGUGAAUUAAGAAGAUUAACAUGAAAAAAGAAUAACGAACUUUCAAAUUAAAAUGAAAAGCAUACACUAUCCGGUUCAACACAUCUGGGGAAGAAGGAGCGCGCUAGGAUUCCUCUGGGUUAAAAGCCAGUAUUCGAGCAAGAGGAGCCUCCUCAUUGCACGCUGGGGUCCUAACUUUGGUUGAAGAUCCAGUCUCGCCAUUUCAUCUUUCUCUCCUCUCAGCUUGUAGAUGGCUGCAUUGUUUCAUCUGCUUAACGGGAAAUCAAGUCAGAGGCGAGGUUUCGACCUCUCGUGAUGUCGUAUGGGACGUGUGCGCCUCUCAUUGACACAAUGGCUCUGGUAAUUUGGACAUUGCUUCUGAUUUGAAAACUAAUUAUUCUGCAAGUGAACUGUGGAGAUUAACAUGAAAAAGGGGUAAUGAAUUGGCAAACCAAAAUGAAAAGCACGCACUAUCUAGUUCAACACAUCUGGGAAAAAGGAGCGCCCUAGUUUGGCUUUAGUCGAAGGUAAUUGUUGAAUGGGAAUAAGAGGGGCUGCUGAAACUGCCGACUGACGAGGCAUUGUCGA
Molecule: long non-coding RNA, 1376 nt
Filed under: Eucalyptus grandis
Lineage: Eukaryota; Viridiplantae; Streptophyta; Magnoliopsida; Myrtales; Myrtaceae
Description: long non-coding RNA (EGRA_LNC002556)
Source: RNAcentral